AGGGUGUAAACGCUGCAGACUUGGUGUUGGAGGCCCUUUGGGGGCAUUCAGUGCCGGAGAGAAGUUGUUAAGUCUGCUACUUGGGAGUACGUCCGCAAGGAUGAAACUUAAAGGAAUUGGCGGGGGAGCACCGCAACGGGAGGAGCGUGCGGUUUAAUUGGAUUCAACACCGUAAAACUCACCAGGGAAGACUGUUACAUGAAGGCCGAGAUGAAGACUCUGCUAGAUUUUCAGAGAGGUGGUGCAUGGCGUCAGUAACU
Molecule: ribosomal RNA, 260 nt
Filed under: uncultured archaeon
Lineage: Archaea
Description: partial 16S ribosomal RNA
Rfam family: Archaeal small subunit ribosomal RNA
Source: RNAcentral